UUCUGCACAUACCUGGAGUGGCUGCCUGCCCUGGCUCCUCGGUACAGGAAAGGGGAAGGGUGGAGAGUGAAAGGAGCCCAGGCUGACCCAACCAGGACCGCCUUCUCCCUCAGACCGAGUAGUGCAGACCCCACGGCCUCCACCUUCAGACCCAGGAGUUCAGAUCCCCAGCGCCCUCCUCCCUCAGACCCAGGAGUAGUCCAGGCCCCCAGCGCCCUCCUCUCUCAGACCCAGAAGUCCAGGCCCCCAGCACCCUUCUCCCUCAGACCCUGGAGUCCAGGUCCCCAGCGCCCUCCUCCUUCAGACCCAGGAGUCCAGGCCCCCAGUGCCCUCCUCUCUCAGACCCAGGAGUUCUGGAAUUCAGGCCCCUCCUUCUCGGGUACUAAGAAAUGCAGACUCCGGGUUCCUCAUCCUCCAGAUUUGGGUUGGGGGUUCCGGACUCCGAGACCCCUCAGGGGAAACCGGCUGCAUAUCUGGGACACUUCCCUCUUGCCUCAGUUUCCUCCGCCAAGC
RNAcentral lists this long non-coding RNA (513 nucleotides) under Pan troglodytes (chimpanzee). RNAcentral's name for it is "lincRNA". Lineage: Eukaryota; Metazoa; Chordata; Mammalia; Primates; Hominidae. The record is from RNAcentral.